Molecule: non-coding RNA, 1436 nt
Organism: Callithrix jacchus (white-tufted-ear marmoset)
Lineage: Eukaryota; Metazoa; Chordata; Mammalia; Primates; Cebidae
Source: RefSeq, a predicted model, not a curated record
AUGGUUGAUAAGAGCAGUGAUGAGUAUGAAGAGAAAAAUAACAAGGGCCUAAGGGAGGGCAGGCCACAGGCUCCAGGAUACAAAGGCAAAGACAUGGACCUGCCCCUGCAAGUUCCAAGUGCCACUGGACCCCUUCUUAUGGACUUGAGAGGAUGGGAUGGUACAGAGAGAGCCAGAAGCAUAGAAAGGAGAAGAAAACCUCACAGUUGACACCUCAAUGGGGCUUUAGUGAAAAUGAUGAUGAUGAUGAUGAUGACCAUGAUGAGCAUUAUUCAUCUGAAAUGGAUUCUGAUUCUGAUGAUGAUGAUGAAGGGCAUGGAGCCCAUCUGGAAGUAGUUCCGUAACCCUGCAGAUUAUGAGCAUUUUCCAGUUUCUGCUGAGAUUAAGGAACUCUUCCAGUACAUCAGUACAUACACACCUCAGUUGACUGACCUGGACCACAAACUGAAGCCUUUCAUUCCUAAUUUUAUCCCAGCUAUUGGGGAUAUUGAGGUAGUCUUAAAGGUCCCAUGUCCUGAUGGAAAGCCUGACAACCUUGGCCUGUUGGUAUUGGAUAAACCUUCUACAAAGCAGUCAGACCCUACAGUGUUCUCACUGCGGUUAACAGAGAAUUCUAAGCAGCACAACAUCCCACAACAUAUGAAAGCAAAGAGCCUGGAAGAUGUAGAAAAGAAUCCCAAAGCCAUUGACACAUGGAUUGAGAGCAUCUCUGAAUUACACCGUUCUAAGCCCCUUGUGACUGUGCACUACACCAGGCCCCUGCCUGACAUUGACAUGCUGAUUCAGGAAUGGUCCCUGGAGUUUGAAGAGCUUUUGGGCAAGGUAAGCCUGACCACAGCAGAGACUGAUUACAGCCUGGCAGGCUACACUGACAUGAUCUGUGACAUUAUAGACAUCUCUGUCUACAAGAGUCGGAUCCAGUCCCUCCAUCUGCUUUUCCCUGUACUCAGAAUUCAAUAAUUCACAGCAUUUUAAAGCUCUAGCUGAAGGCAAGAAAUCAUUCACUCCUUCAUCCACUCUACCUCCCAAGCUGGAGAUGUGGACACAUUAACCUUCAGCUGAGACACUUCCUAAGUUGCUGUUUCAAGGCUGAGCUGGCCCCUCCACCCCAGCUGAGAUGGACAGAUCAUUGUCAGUCACCUGAUGUCCUUGCCUAUGCCACAGCUUGGCUAAAGGGCAGUGUAUGUCCUGCUGCCCUCUCUGCCAGAGGGCACUGCACAGAUUUGUUUAAUGAACCUGCCUGCCUCAGACUGCUCUCCCCAGGGAGUUAAUGCAGCUACACUACUAUGGGGAUUUGAAUUAGAAGAAUUGGAAUUUCUGAGAUCCCAUGGAACUCAGGUUGGGAGGAAAGCUUAAAAGAUGUCCUUUUUGGGGGAGGGAUGGAAUUGCUUUCUUUCAUUCUUAAAAGUUGGUGGGUCAAGAUUUCAUAAAUCAAA